GGGCCAGUGGCGCAAUGAAUAACGUGUCUGACUACGGAUCAGAAGAUUCUGGUUCUGACUCCUGGCUGGCCCG
This is a non-coding RNA of Salmo salar (Atlantic salmon), 73 nucleotides long. Lineage: Eukaryota; Metazoa; Chordata; Actinopteri; Salmoniformes; Salmonidae. The record is from Rfam.